Long non-coding RNA from Homo sapiens (human), 1862 nucleotides. The record is from Ensembl. Lineage: Eukaryota; Metazoa; Chordata; Mammalia; Primates; Hominidae.
UAUAAAGCUUCAACAAUUUAUAAAAUGAGCCAUGGGAACAUGUGAACAAGUAGGAUUAUCUACACCAGAAAAGUCAGGGUGGGGGGUUGGAGGUGGCAGGGUCACCUGAAAAGAAAGGAAGGUCAACACUAAAUAUGCAUUACUAAGUCAGAAUCCUGUUUGCAUUUGAAAUCAGAAAUAAUAAAAACAGUCUAAUGUGAUGAUAUGAAUAACAAUUCUGUGAUUAUGUGGGAAGACUUCCUUGAUAAUGAGAAUGCUACAUUUAAGAUUCGUUAUUGAGAAGGAAGUAGAUCUUUGUGAUACCUUACAUUGCCUGCAGAUAGUUAUAUUGACAAGGGUGGAAUCACUUCUUACUGGGUUAGUAGAAAGUUAUGUUUAAUAAACAUUCUGCUUAAAAAUCCCUAAACCACCCCUAAAAGUACUCCCAGCACGUCAACACAUCAAACAGCCAGUUCCUCUUCCUCAGCCCCUUUAUGUUAAAUAAGUUGCUCUUUCUUUGGUUGCGCUUGAGACGGACUAGUUGUCUUGAGUAUAGGCACCAAGAAGGUGUAUUUUUGAACAAUAGAAAAUCUCACUGCCCACUAGGGAGGGGAUGCUUACACUAUGCAAAACACGAGACAACUGAAGAAUCUACAACUUCCACUUCAUGUUCACUAAUGGGGGUGCCUUUCACAUUAUCUCUGAGUUCAAUGGUGCAGAACAUUUGAGAGGCCUCAGGCAAGUGCACAGAUAGAGACCCAAUACUGUAUAUAAAACAUUUAACCAUUAUCAAUCAAGUUAACAAACUGUUAACAUAUGUUCUAGCCUCCUGCCUUGACAUAUCCUUCACAUAACCGAAUUGGCCAGGUUUUAGCUCCUUGAAGUCUUACUGGAACAUGGUGGCAUGGGUAAAGAUAGCACAGCCAUCUUGAGCCAUUGCCUGUCCCCUUUGCUUCUACCUCUGUGAAGGGCCUCGCAUGACCAGUGUGGCCUCUAGGUCUCUCCUGUGCCUAGAUAUGUUUGCACUGAAGGUGUCAUCUGUGCUUGGGAGAGUAGACCUGGAGAGGCCUACACAGACCCUGGAAGUGGGCUUGAGGUCUUCUGGGCUAAGAAUUCUGGGGUCCUGGAUUCUGGGUGAGCACAUUGCCUUAACCCCACAGAAGACUUUCUUUGUAGGGAGGACUGCAGCUGGAGGAUGGUUGAAGGAAAACUUUCGGAGUGAGGUGCUAUGAUAUUGUGAUAUAAUAAGAAAUCUAUAUUUGGUCCCUGCACCUGGUUACUGAGACAGAGCUCCUAAGACCUUUCUAGAUGGAGAUGCCAGAAACUGCAGUCGAUUCGUUUUACCAGUUCUGAAGCUGGUCGAGCCCAUUGUGGAGUGGACCCCCGAUGCAGGCGAUUUGCUGCCGCCGCUUCCAGUCUUGCAGCUCUUCUAUGAGCAUGGUGUUCAUUAACAGGUCUGUCUCAUGGAUGAUUUGGGUCAUUUUACUGAGAGCCUCCUAAAAACAAAGGGGACUACUGAAGAGAGUUUCAUAAGAAAUAAGUCACUUAGAAUUCAAUUUACAAAACUAUUUGACCUGGUAGACAAAGGCUUGGUUAAAAUUUUGACCAAAUAUUUUACUAAAUGCUAGCUUCUAUUUGCCAGGCCUUUUCAAACAAUUAAAUUAUUGACAAUAAAUGAUGUCAUGAGAAAAGAAGAAUGGCCACAGUUUAACAUUCUCAUCGUGUUUCAGUAUAAAUAUAUUGAAUGUGUAACUCCUGCGGCAACAAUAUUGAAUCUUGUAGUAACAAAACUGUAUAGUUGCUUAUUAAAAGGAUAUUUAUAUAUGUAAUUUAUUUUUUAAUAAAGAUGGUUAUUCAUUUAUAUUAAAAUGAGCUGACUAAAA